AGAGUUUGAUCCUGGCUCAGGAUGAACGCUGGCGGCGUGCUUAACACAUGCAAGUCGAACGAAGCAGCUUCUGCUUGCAAGAAGUUGACUUAGUGGCGGACGGGUGAGUAACGCGUGGGUAACCUGCCUCAUACAGGGGGAUAACAGUUGGAAACGACUGCUAAGACCGCAUAACCCGCUAGUGUCGCAUGACACGGGCGGAAAAUAUUUAUAGGUAUGAGAUGGGCCCGCGUCUGAUUAGCUAGUUGGUAAGGUAACGGCUUACCAAGGCGACGAUCAGUAGCCGACUUGAGAGAGUGAUCGGCCACAUUGGGACUGAGACACGGCCCAAACUCCUACGGGAGGCAGCAGUGGGGAAUAUUGGACAAUGGGGGAAACCCUGACGCAGCAAACCGCCGCGUGAGUGAGGAAGGCCUUCGGGUUGUAAAGCUCUGUCUUUUUGGACGAAACCUAAUUGGUAAAUAGCCAAUCAGAUGACGGUACAAGAAAAGGAAGCCCCGGCUAACUACGUGCCAGCCGCGGC
Molecule: ribosomal RNA, 523 nt
Filed under: uncultured bacterium
Lineage: Bacteria
Description: bacterial SSU rRNA
Rfam family: Bacterial small subunit ribosomal RNA
Source: RNAcentral